Molecule: microRNA precursor, 62 nt
Organism: Dasypus novemcinctus (nine-banded armadillo)
Lineage: Eukaryota; Metazoa; Chordata; Mammalia; Cingulata; Dasypodidae
Source: Ensembl
GGAAUCGCGGUCCCGCUCGCGCUCCACUAACACAGCUGUGUCCCGGCGCGAGCGAGAACGGG